RNAcentral lists this long non-coding RNA (443 nucleotides) under Pan troglodytes (chimpanzee). RNAcentral's name for it is "long non-coding RNA NONPTRT004275". The record is from RNAcentral. Lineage: Eukaryota; Metazoa; Chordata; Mammalia; Primates; Hominidae.
AUGCAAAUGGAAGCCAGAGGAAAAGGGAACCCUUGACACAGUUUUCAUAUAGAUUGGCCUCCAGAGCAGACAGCAGGAGGGGGGUUUAAUCUGGACUGAAUUGGAGGAAAGGAACUGGCACCAGAGUGGAGGCUGGAAGGAUGGUGGAACUGACACUGGGACAGAACACAGAAAACAGAAUCUAAUGCUAUUGCUCUGGCUAUAUCAAAUAAAAGUGUCAAGAGUGAGCAUCCUUGCCUUGUGCUGAAUCACAAAGGAAUACCUUUCAGUUUUUCUCCAUUGAUUAUGAUAGCAGUGGGCUUUUCACAGUGGGCUUUAUUGUGUUGAGGUACCCUAAUGACAAGUUCACCCCAGUGUUUUCUGAGGAGUCUACCUGGAAAUGAGAACCAUCUGUCCUUCCUAUAGUAGUUCUUCUCAGAAUGCCGACUCUAUGCUAAUGGUGA